This 1289-nucleotide long non-coding RNA is filed under the name Cricetulus griseus (Chinese hamster). RNAcentral describes it as "lncRNA (ENSCGRG00015033071.1)". Lineage: Eukaryota; Metazoa; Chordata; Mammalia; Rodentia; Cricetidae. The record is from RNAcentral.
UCUGCGAGGACAACCUUGAAACAAGAAGCCAAGUCCACCCGAAGAGAGUCCCACGAUUGGCUUCAUUUUUUGCCCUUGGCAGAUGCACCCCGCAUCACAAAUGCUCCUCCUGGCUUCGCGUUGAUGAAGUUUUACGACGAUUCCAAAGCCACAGAGUCUCAACCAAGUCUGCAGCGACCUGGACACCGUCACAUUUACAGGCUUUGUCAAACUGUUCACGCGCUCUGCUGUUGCCUGACCGAGUGCUCCCCGGUUCCUGGGACAUCAGUGUGGCCGGGAAUGCCGCUGCCAUCCCGCAUGGCUCUCAUCGUGCUGCCGUCGUCGCCAGGCCUCUCCCGGCUCCGUCUGGAUGGAUGCUCUCUCACUGGGGGCCACAGCGCAGAUGUUCUCAGGGUGACCUUGAGGAGGGUUCUUUGUCCAGCUCUUCAUUACAGAUUGGACAUAAUGAGUAGCAUGCGGAUGUCGUGAGGAUGGAGUGACGUCCUGUUCAGAUUCCAGUACAGACCUUUUCUCUUAGUGGACAGUAGCCAAAAGAGGGAUGGAGUCAAAGCAUCCAGAAGGCGUUAAAAACUGCUUUGAUGAGAUGGAAGUCACCUAUGCUCACAUUCCAUGGACCAAAAUCAGGCAAAUGGGCAAGUUCAAAGUCAGUGAUGCCACCAUUGUACUUUGCAGGAUUUAGCUCUAGCUAAAUGUAUGCUGGCGGAAUGGGCUGGGCCUUCCAGAACAACUCCCAAAGCAACACCACAGACUCAUCCCACUGGGGAGCUGCCAUUUCUGCUGCUGCCACGGAGCCAGGAAAGCAACACGGGAGACGACAGACCAGGGAUGAAGAAUGGGCCAUAGUAUCCAUUGCCACAGAACUGCCAUAGCUUCCAGAUCCACACCUUCGGACAGAUCCUCUCCUCUCCCAGAAGAGAGCACUGGACAUGAGGACCCUGCACGGUUCUCACAGAGAGGCCCAGGUCCUACAAAGAUGCACUUAGCAGCAGCAGCAGUGUGGGGGACCGAAUAUCCCUGUUAUGAAAUAUUCUGGGUUCCAGGCCCUGGCUGCCAUAAACAGCGGUGGUGCCAGGAAGCUCCGAGUCACCGUUGUAUCGUUAAUUAACACUAGGCUGUUACUGUUUACCAAGGCGAUAUGCCUCCUAAUUUGCAUCUCUGUAGCUUAAGCCUUGAGUAGGCCCAUACCUGGGCUGAAGACCCUGCCUGCAUGACCAAGAGUUGUUUAGGUAACAGAAUCACUUGAUGUUAGCGGUAUGUAUUGUGAUAAAUGCUUCCCGAUGUUGUCCCUG